RNAcentral lists this small RNA (624 nucleotides) under Oryza sativa Japonica Group (Japanese rice). RNAcentral's name for it is "sRNA Os01g0784750". The record is from RNAcentral. Lineage: Eukaryota; Viridiplantae; Streptophyta; Magnoliopsida; Poales; Poaceae.
CGUAUUGACUGGCUACCUCGAAUCACUUGCGCCCACAUGUUUAUCUUAUCUAAGAACACAGCGAUGACAACCAACGCCCCGCGGCAUCCAAAUGACUAGGAAUCGAGACUACUUCAUCUUGAGAGUUCUUCAACCAUAACUUUGCGAUUGUUUGUAAUCUUAGGAGAAGGAUACUCUAAAUAUAGACUAAAGGGAAAUCAAUUUUCUCUUAAAGAGGACAGGAAUUUGACGAUGCGAGCAGUAAUAAUAACGUUUGAAUCUGUACAGUAAUUACAAGAAAGACUGUGGCGAGGAUGCUUACACGACAUAGACCUUCACCGCCAUUGGGAACCCUCCGGAGCUCCUGGGGCUGGAGAUCUGGGGAGGGGAUGAGCAGAGGAGGGAAAGAAAGGCGUGUAUACUGAACUGGAGUUCCUGGCCUUCUCUCCCUAUUUAUAGGCGAGGCUGUUGUUUUUGUUUGACCUUCAGUUAUUGAAACUGGAUUCCCUCUCUCUCCUUUUUCCUUUUCUUUUUCUUUUUUUCUUUUUUCUUUUUUUCCCCUCUUUUCAUACAGAAAUUCCCCUACUUGUUUUUUUUCUAUGCCAGUGGUCAACAGUAUUGGUUGGUCUCUUAUGUCAAAAAUAU